CCGUACUUGUAUCCUGAGAAGUAUGGAAUUUCUUCGCGGCCCCGCCUCAAAAUUGUCGGCAGCGGCACAGAAGCCCCGAGCGUACCAAGACCUAAUCGUCUCCGCUCCGCGGGCCUUCUGGUACCGUCUUUGCCCCAUAAUGACCCCAGCUUAUCUAUAAAAUUGACCUCGGAUCAGGUAGGGAUACCCGCUGAACUUAA
This 200-nucleotide unclassified non-coding RNA is filed under the name soil metagenome. RNAcentral's name for it is "partial contains internal transcribed spacer 2 and large subunit ribosomal RNA". The record is from RNAcentral.